UGGACUAUCGUGUCGAGCAUCAGGCGCCC
Molecule: small RNA, 29 nt
Filed under: Bombyx mori (domestic silkworm)
Lineage: Eukaryota; Metazoa; Arthropoda; Insecta; Lepidoptera; Bombycidae
Description: ovarian small RNA-34576
Source: RNAcentral